This is a long non-coding RNA of Sinocyclocheilus rhinocerous, 542 nucleotides long. RefSeq lists it as uncharacterized. The transcript is spliced from 3 exons. NCBI's taxonomy places the organism in Eukaryota, Metazoa, Chordata, Actinopteri, Cypriniformes, Cyprinidae. The record is from RefSeq and is a predicted model, not a curated record.
CGUGUAACUCAUUGUCUUGAGUCCCUGUGGAGGAAGUGAAUGUGAAAUACUUCAGGUCUCGGGUCACUGUCGUAGUGGGCGUCACUUUUGGGCUUUUAUUCAAAUGUUUUCUCUGUAACUUCCUCCCUCGGGCUCGGGCUGCUUUUGCACGUUCAAAUGAUGAGGAGGACAGUCUCUCCAUUGAUCUGUGUGAAAACUCGUUCUGUUCUCCCAGAAGGCUGCGUGUAGAUCUAUAAAGAGGAGCAGAUGAAACAUGUGACCGCUGUGCUGUUGAUCUAAUGUGUUUGUGUGUCAGCUGCUCACCAAAGAGCCGGUGGAGGCAGGAACUCCAGAGACCUUCGGGGAUUUCGACAGUCAGUCCAGGAAGUUUUAUUUUCUGAGUGACGAGACGGACGAUAGAGACCGCACGACCCAGCGCUGCCGAGAGCUCCAGCAGCAGGUGUCCGUUCUGAUGGAGGAGAAGUCCUCGCUGCAGGUGGAGCUUCAGUCUCUGCGGGAGCGUCUCAAUCACUGCGAGCCACACCACGUCUCCUCCACCAUCA